This 253-nucleotide ribosomal RNA is filed under the name uncultured bacterium. Its description in RNAcentral is "partial 16S ribosomal RNA". It matches the Rfam family "Bacterial small subunit ribosomal RNA", at positions 524 to 776 of the family's 1533-position model. The record is from RNAcentral.
UACGUAGGGUGCUAGCGUUAAUCGGAAUUACUGGGCGUAAAGUGUGCGCAGGCGGUUUCGCAAGUCACGUGUGAAAGCCCCGGGCUUAACCUGGGAACUGCGCUUGAAACUACGGAACUCGAGUAUGGCAGAGGAAGGUGGAAUUCCACGUGUAGCGGUGAAAUGCGUAGAGAUGUGGAGGAACACCGAUGGCGAAGGCAGCCUUCUGGGCCAAUACUGACGCUCAUGCACGAAAGCGUGGGGAGCAAACAGG